GGCUGUAGGGCAAUCUGGCUGCAUCUGUCGUCCCAUUUAUCACCAGGGUUGAUUUGACUGAUGUGGCUGGCUAGGUGGGGUGUCCCCUUUCUCCCUGACUACCCCCAGGGGUCUCACCUGAAGUUGCAUGAUCGAUGGAAAAAGACAACCUUUCCUGAUGGAGAAGGAUUAUUCCUCGGUGAAGGGUAUAUGAGGAGCUGCGCUUUCCUGCUAGAACCUCCAAAUAAGCUCUUAAGAAAAGCACUUUAAAAUAAAGAUACAAAUAGGUUAAAAGUAAAGGAUGGAAAAAGAUGUAACAGGCUAACACAAAUCAAAAGAAAGCUGAAGUAGCUAUAUUACUAU
RNAcentral lists this small nuclear RNA (342 nucleotides) under Propithecus coquereli (Coquerel's sifaka). Its description in RNAcentral is "7SK RNA (ENSPCOG00000009079.1)". It matches the Rfam family "7SK RNA". From Rfam's summary of the family: 7SK was discovered as an abundant small nuclear RNA in the mid-70s but a possible function has only recently been suggested. Two independent studies have found that 7SK RNA binds the CDK9/cyclin T complex (known as elongation factor P-TEFb). P-TEFb activates transcription by phosphorylating the C-terminal domain of RNA polymerase II. The record is from Rfam by way of RNAcentral. Lineage: Eukaryota; Metazoa; Chordata; Mammalia; Primates; Indriidae.